GAUCCUAUCCGUGAACGGGGUGCG
This 24-nucleotide non-coding RNA is filed under the name Arabidopsis thaliana (thale cress). The record is from RNAcentral. Lineage: Eukaryota; Viridiplantae; Streptophyta; Magnoliopsida; Brassicales; Brassicaceae.